Leptinotarsa decemlineata (Colorado potato beetle) is the source of this 1160-nucleotide long non-coding RNA. RefSeq lists it as uncharacterized. NCBI's taxonomy places the organism in Eukaryota, Metazoa, Arthropoda, Insecta, Coleoptera, Chrysomelidae. The record is from RefSeq and is a predicted model, not a curated record.
AGGGAACACUCCCAAUUUAUUUUCAGAGAAAUGGUUCCAUACACGUUUUCUUAUUGAAGCUUUGGUUAUUACUACAAAAAAAAUGUAGGGAUCCUCGUAUUAGAUAUGGAAUGGCUUUUUGGAAAAAAAUGAUUUCAAAUGAUUUUUUUAUUUCAAAAAAUGGGUGAAACAAACAGCUUCCAAGGAUACUUACAAGCUACUCUUCGAAGUCUACAGUAGCCACCUUAUUUAUUUUAGAAACUACGUGUUUAACACAGAAUUAUUAUUAAUAUCUUGAAACUCUCAUUUCCUCAUAUAACAUUUGUAGUUGCAAUAUUGAGGUUUCUCUUGACGCAAGAAUAGUGUUGAAGGGUUUAAUCACCUGUCUAUUGGAAUAAAAGAAAUCAGAUGGAGGAAUUCUGUUUGAUAGUAAAUUGGUAUUUGCUGUGACAUCGGCUUGUAAAGGGCUCAAUUUUUAUAUCACAUACCUGUACAUUUUUCACUAAUUUUUGUGCUUGCUACUUGUUUGAACCAAACUGGAAUAUACCACUUUGAUUUGGUAUCCUCUCUAGUGUCUAUAUUGAAACUUUGGAGAAAAUUUGAUUGCGUUGUUCAGAAUUGAACCAGCCAGAGGAUGUAACUACUCAGCUUUUUUACAAAGGUUCAGGUUACCCCUUUAGAAAUGUGUAAAUUAACGUUAAGCAUAAUUACAUUAUACAUAAUUAUUGAUGGAAUAGUCGAUGCACCUAUACUACUGAAUUAAAUUAAUUUCAAAGUCACUAAUCACUAUUUACAUUCUGUUCUGGAACAAAUCUUGAUAGUAUUUCUCCAACAGUAUCGAUGUGUUCGAACUUCAACAAAAAUAUUGUUAUCAUUGCCAUAUCCACGAUUCACUCAUAAAAACAGUUAAGCAGAGUAUUGACAUCAUCUCCUUAAUUUGAACUUGAAUUUUGUUAAGAUAUGGAUUAACAUGUUAUUUGUGUUAAAUAUGUAACUAUUCUAAUGUAUAUUGACCUGUAAAUGGAUUGGUCUUCAAAUUACCUACUACUCAUUUUGGCUCUCUGAAUUUCACAUCUUCAUUCUUAUUUAUAUUGUAAUGGUCAAUAUACAGACAUGCUUUUUAAUUUUUUUCCCUUGAAGACUUUGAAUGUCUAAAAAUUAUUAUAAAACUUGGUCUAUAA